Molecule: long non-coding RNA, 1156 nt
Filed under: Salmo salar (Atlantic salmon)
Lineage: Eukaryota; Metazoa; Chordata; Actinopteri; Salmoniformes; Salmonidae
Description: lncRNA (ENSSSAG00000082333.1)
Source: RNAcentral
GGAAAUAGCAGCCAGGAAAAGGUUGCUGUUGGGGAGACUUGAUAACUGCGGGGUCACCGCAGAGACCAAAAAGAAAGGAUGGGCGAGAGUGGCUGAGUCUGUCUCUGCCGUCGGGGGUAUGGCAAGGGACAGUGACGCCUUAAAAAACAAGUGGUCCGACAUCAAGUCGGCAGCUAAGAAGAAGGUGAGCUGAAGGACCAUUCAUGUGGACUAGUUGGAGGAGAAGGUGUCGUCCAUCAUAGAGAUGGCGGUAGAGGGACUGUGCGACCGGAGAGUACAGAAACCAGCUGGACUGCUGAUGUGAAAGGGAUCGUUUCAUGAGAAAACAGAGAUGAUGUACAUGAUAGUCCAAAGGAAUGGGCUGGGGAGGAGGAAGGAGGAGGAACGGCAUACACCACAGACCAAGAUUGGGUUGGAAAGCUCAGUGAGAGAACCAGCGGCACUAGGCUGGAUUCUUAAUGCACUGACUAUCCUCCUCCAGGCCGAAGUUUGGAACGGUCGGCCUGUGCUGGGAAUACCAAGCGCCUGGCUCUCUGCUCUGGGAACAAUGGGAGAAUGGGUGUGCUGCUGCUGCGCCAGUUCAACUAUUAAAGAGCGUGAAGCAGAGAGCAGGGAAAUCACUGCUGCCUAUCUCUACAGCCCUCUGACGGACAUCUCUAAAGUGAACACAGAAAGAGAUAUUGUGAUGGAAAUGAUUAUGUUGGCUCAAUAUUAACAGUGAUUUUUUUUUUAUGAUUGAAGACUAUACUGGGAUUUGAAGGAAGUUAGUGUUUAAUGUGAAUUUGUUUAAGAUAAGAGAGAGAUAAAGUAUGUCUCCCCAGCAAAUGAUGCAUUGGUUCCAAUGUGGUUAUUUAGGGCAUCAACAUGACUGGAAUUAGAAGCUACAGUGCCAUCCAUACAUCUCAAGGUCUGGACUAACGUAUGAGAUCUAUUUCAGUAAAUCUCAGUCAUUUCUCCAAUCCUUUAUGAACUUCCUAUGACACAAUCACUUUCCCAGGGUGUAGUUAUGCUUUACAUACACAUUUAAAUGAUGUAGAAGCAUACAGUCUGGGGCAUCAUAUUAUAUACAGUACAUGCUUCCAUAUAAUUACAUAUAGAAUCCAGAGGUAUAAUUUAUAAGAUCUCUCUGCAUGCUUCUGUAUUCUAUCAAGUUGAU